RNAcentral lists this small nuclear RNA (142 nucleotides) under Vulpes vulpes (red fox). Its description in RNAcentral is "U1 spliceosomal RNA (ENSVVUG00000010116.1)". It matches the Rfam family "U1 spliceosomal RNA". Rfam says of the family: U1 is a small nuclear RNA (snRNA) component of the spliceosome (involved in pre-mRNA splicing). Its 5' end forms complementary base pairs with the 5' splice junction, thus defining the 5' donor site of an intron. There are significant differences in sequence and secondary structure between metazoan and yeast U1 snRNAs, the latter being much longer (568 nucleotides as compared to 164 nucleotides in human). The record is from Rfam by way of RNAcentral. Lineage: Eukaryota; Metazoa; Chordata; Mammalia; Carnivora; Canidae.
AUAUUUACCUGACAGGGGAGAUGCCAUGAUCACAAGGAGGUUUUCCCAGGGUGGAUGCUUAACCAUUACACUCCGGUUGUGCUGACCCCUGCGAUUUCCAGCACAGUCUGUGGUGGUGGGGCACUGGUUCGCCACCGCCCCC